CAGGACGAACGCUGGCGGCGUGCCUAAUACAUGCAAGUCGAACGGUCUUUCUAAUGGAAGCUUGCUUCCACUGAGAAGAUAGUGGCGAACGGGUGAGUAACACGUGGGUAACCUGCCCAUAAGAGGGGGAUAACAUCCGGAAACGGGUGCUAAUACCGCAUAGUUUUCUUGAUCGCAUGAUUGGGAAAGGAAAGACGGCCUUUGUGCUGUCGCUUAUGGAUGGACCCGCGGCGUAUUAGUUAGUUGGUGAGGUAACGGCUCACCAAGACGAUGAUACGUAGCCGACCUGAGAGGGUGAUCGGCCACAUUGGGACUGAGACACGGCCCAAACUCCUACGGGAGGCAGCAGUAGGGAAUCUUCCGCAAUGGACGAAAGUCUGACGGAGCAACGCCGCGUGAGUGAAGAAAAGGUUUUCGGAUCGUAAAACUCUGUUGUCAGAGAAGAACAAGUUGGAGAGUAACUGCUCCAGCCUUGACGGUAUCUGACCAGAAAGCCACGGCUAACUACGUGCCAGCCGCCGC
RNAcentral lists this ribosomal RNA (522 nucleotides) under uncultured bacterium. Its description in RNAcentral is "bacterial SSU rRNA". It matches the Rfam family "Bacterial small subunit ribosomal RNA", at positions 25 to 518 of the family's 1533-position model. The record is from RNAcentral.